CCUGGUGGUUAUACCGAGGGGGUCACACCCGUUCCCAUUCCGAAUACGGAAGUUAAGCCCCUCAGGGCCGAUGGUACUUAGCUGGCAACGGCUCGGGAGAGUAGGACGCUGCCGGGA
This 117-nucleotide ribosomal RNA is filed under the name Omnitrophica WOR_2 bacterium RIFCSPHIGHO2_01_FULL_49_10. The record is from RNAcentral. Lineage: Bacteria; Pseudomonadati; Candidatus Omnitrophota. RNAcentral also lists the same sequence under 1 other name.